RNAcentral lists this ribosomal RNA (465 nucleotides) under Vreelandella stevensii. RNAcentral's name for it is "partial 16S ribosomal RNA". It matches the Rfam family "Bacterial small subunit ribosomal RNA", at positions 338 to 795 of the family's 1533-position model. The record is from RNAcentral. Lineage: Bacteria; Pseudomonadati; Pseudomonadota; Gammaproteobacteria; Oceanospirillales; Halomonadaceae.
CCUACGGGAGGCUGCAGUGGGGAAUAUUGGACAAUGGGGGCAACCCUGAUCCAGCCAUGCCGCGUGGGUGAAGAAGGCCCUCGGGUUGUAAAGCACUUUCAGUGAGGAAGAACGCCUGGUGGUUAAUACCCAUCAGGAAAGACAUCACUCACAGAAGAAGCACCGGCUAACUCCGUGCCAGCAGCCGCGGUAAUACGGAGGGUGCGAGCGUUAAUCGGAAUUACUGGGCGUAAAGCGCGCGUAGGUGGCUUGAUAAGCCGGUUGUGAAAGCCCCGGGCUCAACCUGGGAACGGCCUCCGGAACUGUCAAGCUAGAGUGCAGGAGAGGAAGGUAGAAUUCCCGGUGUAGCGGUGAAAUGCGUAGAGAUCGGGAGGAAUACCAGUGGCGAAGGCGGCCUUCUGGACUGACACUGACACUGAGGUGCGAAAGCGUGGGUAGCAAACAGGAUUAGAUACCCGAGUAGUC